This 253-nucleotide ribosomal RNA is filed under the name uncultured bacterium. RNAcentral's name for it is "partial 16S ribosomal RNA". It matches the Rfam family "Bacterial small subunit ribosomal RNA", at positions 524 to 776 of the family's 1533-position model. The record is from RNAcentral.
UACGAAGGGGGCUAGCGUUAUUCGGAAUCACUGGGCGUAAAGCGCACGCAGGCGGAUUGAUAAGUCAGGGGUGAAAUCCUGGAGCUCAACUCCAGAACUGCCUUUGAUACUGAGGAUCUUGAGUUCGGGAGAGGUGAGUGGAACUGCGAGUGUAGAGGUGAAAUUCGUAGAUAUUCGCAAGAACACCAGUGGCGAAGGCGGCUCACUGGCCCGAUACUGACGCUGAGGCACGAAAGCGUGGGGAGCAAACAGG